RNAcentral lists this ribosomal RNA (429 nucleotides) under Chloroflexota bacterium. RNAcentral's name for it is "Chloroflexi bacterium partial 16S ribosomal RNA". It matches the Rfam family "Bacterial small subunit ribosomal RNA", at positions 355 to 776 of the family's 1533-position model. The record is from RNAcentral. Lineage: Bacteria; Bacillati; Chloroflexota. RNAcentral also lists the same sequence under 1 other name.
UAGGGAAUCUUCGGCAAUGGACGAAAGUCUGACCGAGCAACGCCGCGUGAGUGAAGAAGGUUUUCGGAUCGUAAAACUCUGUUGUUAGAGAAGAACAAGGACGUUAGUAACUGAACGUCCCCUGACGGUAUCUAACCAGAAAGCCACGGCUAACUACGUGCCAGCAGCCGCGGUAAUACGUAGGUGGCAAGCGUUGUCCGGAUUUAUUGGGCGUACAGCGAGCGCAGGCGGUUUCUUAAGUCUGAUGUGAAAGCCCCCGGCUCAACCGGGGAGGGUCAUUGGAAACUGGGAGACUUGAGUGCAGAAGAGGAGAGUGGAAUUCCAUGUGUAGCGGUGAAAUGCGUAGAUAUAUGGAGGAACACCAGUGGCGAAGGCGGCUCUCUGGUCUGUAACUGACGCUGAGGCUCGAAAGCGUGGGGAGCAAACAGG